UGAGGGUCUUCUAUUGAGGAAACCCUAAGUAAAUAUAAGCUCUUGCAGUUGUAUGGACCAAUGAAAGGUGAGAAGAUUAGGCAUGGAGUGUAUUGGCCACUGAGUAGGUGGGGAAAAGGACUUUUCAGUUUUCUGUGCCAUACACUAGGAAGACUCAGAGGAAGCACCUCGCCACAUCUCCCUACAGCCUACAAUGCAGAGAAAUGAAGGAGCCUAGGGGAAAAGAUUUUCAAUGUGAUCGGCUUUUCUGGGUCUCUGCUUCUCAACCUGCUCAUGAAAUUCCUCAGAUAUAUCAAUUCUAAUUAAACUUCCUAUUAGAGUGCUUUGUUAUAAGCCUCCAAGCUUCUAAAACAAGGACUGUAUUCAAGGGUUCAGUCUACAGUUAUUUGGUUCCAGAGAGAGAAGCCAUAGGAAAGGAGAGCUGCUCAACCCAAGGCAGCCAAGGAGCAAAACCGGGAACUCUGCCAGAAGAGAAGGGGCCAGGGACCAGACAUGAGCCAGACCUGAAAUACCAAUCAACACACCACAACUUGGUCAAGAUUUCUUCUGCUGCCAGCCAUCUACAAC
Fukomys damarensis (Damara mole-rat) is the source of this 567-nucleotide long non-coding RNA. RefSeq lists it as uncharacterized. Lineage: Eukaryota; Metazoa; Chordata; Mammalia; Rodentia; Bathyergidae. The transcript has 4 exons. The record is from RefSeq and is a predicted model, not a curated record.